Molecule: non-coding RNA, 992 nt
Organism: Myxocyprinus asiaticus (Chinese sucker)
Lineage: Eukaryota; Metazoa; Chordata; Actinopteri; Cypriniformes; Catostomidae
Source: the annotation of a RefSeq genome assembly
UGCAUUGGCAGCACAUGCUUCAGUUGUCUGGGAGUUUUUAAUAGUUCAGUGAGUUUGAAGACUGAAGACUGAGAACUUCUUCAUCCAGAAUCUAAAUCCACAGCAAUCAUGUCUGUCAUCACCAUCUUCAUCUGGAUGUUAACUAGCUACUGUUUUAGAGAAUCAAGAGGUUCAGUGACAGUCACUCAAACACCUGCAGUGAAAUCUGUUCAUCUUGGAGACACAUUUACUAUCACCUGUAAAACCAGCCCUGAAGUCUAUCAGGGUUGGGGUAAUCAGCCUCUUGCCUGGUAUCAGCAGAAACCUGGAGAAGCUCCUAAACUCCUCAUAAAUGCUGCAACAACCCUCAACACUGGAACUCCAUCUAGAUUCAGUGGCAGUGGAUCUAAUAGUGAUUUCACUCUGACCAUCAGUGGAGUCCAGACUGAAGAUGCAGGACAUUAUUACUGUCAGAGUUAUCACUGGAUCAACAGUAAAGAUGUGUGGACUUUCAGCAGCGGCACCAGACUGGAUGUUGGCAGCAUCACUCGUCCUAAAGUGAGCGUCCUGCCGCCCUCCAGUGAAGAGAUUUCCACAAAGAACACAGCAACACUGAUGUGUGUGGCCAACAAGGGCUUCCCCUCAGACUGGAGCCUGAGCUGGAAGGUGGACGGGAGCAGCAGGUCUGAGAAGAGCAGUGCUGGGGUCCUGGAGAAGGACGGUCUGUACAGCUGGAGCAGCAGUCUGACUCUCUCUCAGGAGGAGUGGAUGAAGGCGGUCACAGUGAGCUGUGAGGCCAAACAGAAAGACCAGCUGUCAGUCACUGGAGAAGUGAGGAGAGAUCAGUGUUCUGAGUAGAUCCUCUGGAUUCUCUUCUGCUCUUCUCACUCAUGUCUCACAUGGAGACUAACAGUGGCCUUCUAUUCACACAAGUAUAUGUGUGCUUUUGUCUUUCAGUGCUCAUUCUCUCUUGUCAUAAUUCAAUAAACAAAUAAAAGAUUCAAUUAUUUUAA